UGGGGAAUUUUCCGCAAUGGGCGAAAGCCUGACGGAGCAAUGCCGCGUGGAGGUGGAAGGCCUACGGGUCGUCAACUUCUUUUCUCGGAGAAGAAACAAUGACGGUAUCUGAGGAAUAAGCAUCGGCUAGCUCUGCGCCAG
Molecule: ribosomal RNA, 141 nt
Filed under: uncultured bacterium
Lineage: Bacteria
Description: partial 16S rRNA
Rfam family: Bacterial small subunit ribosomal RNA
Source: RNAcentral